GAAGUUAAAAAUGCGCAUGUCCAAAUUCUAUGACUACAGGGAACAAGGAGAUUAUAUAGUUUUCUCUAACUGCGUAAGUCAAAAGAGCAACAAGUGUUACAUCUAUAAUUGCAGCAAUGCUGCCCAUUCAUCAGUGAAAGAUAUGUCUCAACGACUUUAUGAUUCUUAGUUCAGUCACAAAGUUACGGUCUUGAUUUGAUCUCGAACUUUCAUGUAAGAUAUGGUCUUCUUGCAAUGAACUCUAGUUUCUAGAUAGUUCUGUUCUCAGUAAAGUAAACACCUUUUGUUUUGAUAGGUGUAUUCAUGCAGGGAAAGUUCAGAUUAAUCUCAACUCUUAUAGCUGGUUUAGUGUUUCUCAUCUGAAACAGCUACUAUUUGCUCAUUUUCUUUAUGAAAUGAGAGUAUCUGGUAAACAAAGCGGACUUACUGAGCUGGUACUAAUUAUUACCCGUUAACGGUAUUCAGAAGUAUCACGUGCAAGGAGAAGCAUGUCAACGUUACU
This is a long non-coding RNA of Lycium ferocissimum, 502 nucleotides long. RefSeq lists it as uncharacterized. NCBI's taxonomy places the organism in Eukaryota, Viridiplantae, Streptophyta, Magnoliopsida, Solanales, Solanaceae. The record is from RefSeq and is a predicted model, not a curated record. The transcript has 2 exons.